GUUUAAUUAUUUUUUCAUCCAUAUCUUUGAUUGUGUUUAUAAGUGUGUUUUUAAGGAGGAAAAAAAAAAGGAAAAAAAGAAAAGAGAGAAGAUUUUGCUUAUAGCUAUGAAUGAUGGGAUUUCUUUCAAUUGAUUGAUUACUCAUGUUGUGUUUUAACUGACACAUUUUGUCAUUAGAUUUGUUAAAGGAUUAAUUAUGUUGAUAUUCUUGAAAUGGAGCAAUGCCGUGGAAUAGUUGUUGCAUCAGCUGUAUUUGGAAACUAUGACAUAAUACAACAGCCAAGAAAUAUUAGUGAGGCUGCAAAGGGAAAUGCUUGCUUUUAUAUGUUUGUGGAUGAAGAGACGGAAGCAUAUAUAAAGAAUUCUAGUGCACUUGACAGCACUAACAGGGUGGGAAUAUGGAGAUUUGUUGUCGUUCACAACCUUCCUUAAUGCUGAUCCAAGACGGACUGGAAAGGUGAGUUCUUUUGUGUACUUAUUUUAUUUCUUUUAGACUCCAGAUUAGAUUGUGGUCUAGAAGCAGUCUAGUUGCCUACAAAGCAUGCAAUUGCCGAAUAUAGUUAAUGACUAAAUCUUUAUAGUGUGACUGUAUGCAGCAGCAAUGUAUUUAGUAAUCAUGCAAGAUUGAAAAAUCAUAUUGGAUGUUGCCCAAUAUGGUACUAGAUUGGCUGGUUAUUUAUAACUGCUGUAGAAAAGGUGGGAAUCAUGCAAUAAGUGGGAAAGUAAUAGUCUUUCAAAAAAGAAAAAAAGAAGAAAGUUUUUUCUUCAGAGGCAGCAAAGCAAGAUUACAUCCAUGUGAGAACGAGAAGGGGUCAAGCUACUGAUAGUCAGAGUCUGGCUGAGAGGGUCGUCAACGCGGUGAUCUUAUUGCAUAUGGUUUGAUACCAGAAUUUAUUGGACGGUUUCCAAUACUCGUUAGUUUGUCAGCUCUGGAAUGGACUAUUGUGU
This is a long non-coding RNA of Magnolia sinica, 948 nucleotides long. RefSeq lists it as uncharacterized. The record is from RefSeq and is a predicted model, not a curated record. NCBI's taxonomy places the organism in Eukaryota, Viridiplantae, Streptophyta, Magnoliopsida, Magnoliales, Magnoliaceae. The transcript has 3 exons.